Molecule: long non-coding RNA, 989 nt
Organism: Schistocerca cancellata (South American locust)
Lineage: Eukaryota; Metazoa; Arthropoda; Insecta; Orthoptera; Acrididae
Exons: 3
Source: RefSeq, a predicted model, not a curated record
GUUAGCAAACACAUGUGAUCGGGAGGUGAUUUUUAUUAAAACAAGUCUCGUGGUUAUGACAUUUGAUCAGCCAGAUUCUUAAAUUAUAUUUAGUUCAAGAGUAUGCAGUUUGGAGAUAGAAUGAAAAAAGUGUUGCCUUUGCUGGCAGCAGCUGUUUUGAUUUAUCACGGGACUCUGUAUUACAUGAAGCCGGUCUAUGCACCUGAAGGUGGAAAAAACGCCCUGAACAAUAAGAAAGAGAGUUGAUUACAAGAGUAUAUGAUCGUGUGGAUGGACAAAUUUAAGUAGAUUACUUCUUUGUGUAGUAAACGUUGUGAAACUUUAUCAGGUGCAAGUUGCCGGAAUUGGACAAGUGCCAGCUGUACAACAGCUAGUGAUGAGAACAUUUUGAGUUGUAGAUACUCGGCUAGUUAUGAGAGUCAGAAGACCAAGAGGAAUUACAAAUGCACAAAUCAUUAUUGUCUCUUUUAUAGGCAUCCUUGGAGGCAUUUAUAUCUGGAAACCAGUACUACAGAGGACUGUUUUUAGGAAAGAGGGCGUACCUGUGGAAGUCCCAGACAAGUGAAAAUACGAUUUCAUUAUGUGCAAAACUAUGGAUAAACAAGGGACAUUUUUGCAGCGACUUAGGAACAGACCUCUGUAUCCAGUAAUUCUUGGGUUUGCACUGACAAUAGGUGGAGUUAUUGGCUAUAAAUUUUUGUAUUUACCUAAAAAGAGAAGAAGAAAUAUGAAAGAAGCAGAGGAAAUGGCAGACUUCUUAUUCGCAAAGGAACAGUUGCUAACUCCUGAAGGUACUGGAGAAUCUGGUGACUGAAGCAUCUUAGUUAACAAGAACUAUAAAUAUAUUUUGUAGCAUAUGGUGGUGUACAUAAGAUUUCAAUUUUGUCGUGCUGUCAUUUCCAGUCUGGAAGGGUGGUCUCUUGUUUGGAACUGUUUAUUAGUCACUAACCUUUGAAAUCAGUAAAAUAUUUAAAAAAAUAUUAACAUCA